GGGGGAUAUUGCACAAUGGAGGAAACUCUGAUGUAGCAACGCCGCGUGAGGGAAGACGGUUUUCGGAUUGUAAACCUCUGUCCUUGGUGAAGAUAAUGACGGUAGCCAAGGAGGAAGCUCCGGCUAACUACGUGCCAGCAGCCGCGGUAAUACGUAGGGAGCAAGCGUUGUCCGGAUUUACUGGGUGUAAAGGGUGCGUAGGCGGCUUUACAAGUCAGGCGUGAAAUAUAUGGGCUUAACCCAUAGACUGCGUUGGAAACUGUAGAGCUUGAGUGAAGUAGAGGUAGGCGGAAUUCCCGGUGUAGCGGUGAAAUGCGUAGAGAUCGGGAGGAACACCAGUGGCGAAGGCGGCCUACUGGGCUUUAACUGACGCUGAGGCACGAAAGCAUGGGUAGCAAAC
RNAcentral lists this ribosomal RNA (400 nucleotides) under uncultured bacterium. Its description in RNAcentral is "bacterial SSU rRNA". It matches the Rfam family "Bacterial small subunit ribosomal RNA", at positions 356 to 773 of the family's 1533-position model. The record is from RNAcentral.